GACGAACGCUGGCGGCGUGCUUAACACAUGCGAGUCGAACGGAAAGGCCCUGCUUUUGUGGGGUGCUCGAGUGGCGAACGGGUGAGUAACACGUGAGUAACCUGCCCUUGACUUUGGGAUAGCUUCAGGAAACUGGGGCUAAUACCGGAUAGGAGCUCCUGCUGCAUGGUGGGGGUUGGAAAGUUUCGGCGGUUGGGGAUGGACUCGCGGCUUAUCAGCUUGUUGGUGGGGUAGUGGCUUACCAAGGCUUUGACGGGUAGCCGGCCUGAGAGGGUGACCGGCCACAUUGGGACUGCGAUACGGCCCAGACUCCUACGGGAGGCAGCAGUGGGGAAUAUUGCACAAUGGGCGGAAGCCUGAUGCAGCAACGCCGCGUGCGGGAUGACGGCCUUCGGGUUGUAAACCGCUUUCGCCUGUGACGAAGCGUGAGUGACGGUAAUGGGUAAAGAAGCACCGGCUAACUACGUG
This 468-nucleotide ribosomal RNA is filed under the name uncultured bacterium. Its description in RNAcentral is "partial 16S ribosomal RNA". It matches the Rfam family "Bacterial small subunit ribosomal RNA", at positions 28 to 507 of the family's 1533-position model. The record is from RNAcentral.